Molecule: ribosomal RNA, 660 nt
Filed under: uncultured Actinomycetes bacterium
Lineage: Bacteria; Bacillati; Actinomycetota; Actinomycetes
Description: SSU rRNA
Rfam family: Bacterial small subunit ribosomal RNA
Source: RNAcentral
CUUGUUGGUGGGGUGAUGGCCUACCAAGGCGACGACGGGUAGCCGGCCUGAGAGGGCGACCGGCCACACUGGGACUGAGACACGGCCCAGACUCCUACGGGAGGCAGCAGUGGGGAAUAUUGCACAAUGGGCGGAAGCCUGAUGCAGCGACGCCGCGUGAGGGAUGACGGCCUUCGGGUUGUAAACCUCUUUCAGCAGGGACGAAGCGCAAGUGACGGUACCUGCAGAAGAAGCGCCGGCCAACUACGUGCCAGCAGCCGCGGUAAGACGUAGGGCGCGAGCGUUGUCCGGAUUUAUUGGGCGUAAAGAGCUCGUAGGCGGCUUGUCGCGUCGACUGUGAAAACCCGCGGCUCAACCGCGGGCCUGCAGCCGAUACGGGCAGGCUAGAGUUCGGUAGGGGAGACUGGAAUUCCUGGUGUAGCGGUGAAAUGCGCAGAUAUCAGGAGGAACACCGAUGGCGAAGGCAGGUCUCUGGGCCGAUACUGACGCUGAGGAGCGAAAGCGUGGGGAGCGAACAGGAUUAGAUACCCUGGUAGUCCACGCUGUAAACGUUGGGCGCUAGGUGUGGGGGACCUCUCCGGUUCUCUGUGCCGCAGCUAACGCAUUAAGCGCCCCGCCUGGGGAGUACGGCCGCAAGGCUAAAACUCAAAGGAAUUGACG